CACGGAGUUGCCGUAAUACGGAGGCACGGGGUUGCCUUGUCCGUCGAUAUUAAAAAGUACAUCCACUUCCUCGGCGAGAGGAUACUGCGUGGGGUCCAUGGAAGGCAUUCUUUCUGAAAGGAGCAGGAUGGCGCCAGCCGGCUCAGUGCUUACAGACAGCUGUGGCGAGACGCAACUUAAGGAGGUUCCAGUGUCAUAAGCACGGGGGAGGCGGAGCCUGGCCCAGGCCACGAUACUCUGGGAGCUGAGGGCAGCGCUGAGUGCCGCUCCGCUGCAGUGGGGUCGUUCCUCCCGCCUCCCCCCUACCCAUCCCAAUGGAUGCGGAGCUUCAGGAGGGGCCGUAACCCCGGCAGGUGCAACAUCACCGGGAAAUAAAGCCGCAUCUCCCCGUGUUUAGAACCUC
Long non-coding RNA from Coturnix japonica (Japanese quail), 403 nucleotides. RefSeq lists it as uncharacterized. The record is from RefSeq and is a predicted model, not a curated record. NCBI's taxonomy places the organism in Eukaryota, Metazoa, Chordata, Aves, Galliformes, Phasianidae.